This 234-nucleotide unclassified non-coding RNA is filed under the name plant metagenome. RNAcentral describes it as "partial contains small subunit ribosomal RNA, internal transcribed spacer 1, and 5.8S ribosomal RNA". The record is from RNAcentral.
UUUCCGUAGGUGAACCUGCGGAAGGAUCAUUACAGUAGUCACCCAGGUUGCCGCCAGGCCUCCUGGGUAACCUACCACCCUUUGUUUAUUACACUUUGUUGCUUUGGCAAGCCUGCCCUCGGGCUGCUGGCUCCGGCCGGCGAGCGCUUGCCAGAGGACCUAAACUCUGUUUGUCUAUACUGUCUGAGUACUAUAUAAUAGUUAAAACUUUCAACAACGGAUCUCUUGGUUCUG